Molecule: unclassified non-coding RNA, 378 nt
Filed under: uncultured Parachlamydiaceae bacterium
Lineage: Bacteria; Pseudomonadati; Chlamydiota; Chlamydiia; Parachlamydiales; Parachlamydiaceae
Description: contains 16S-23S intergenic spacer region
Source: RNAcentral
UCCCGGUUAACCCGGGCAGUCUCAUUAGAGUUCCCACCAUUACGUGUUGGCAACUAAUGAUAAGGGUUGCGCUCGUUGCGGGACUUAACCCAACACCUCACGGCACGAGCUGACGACAGCCAUGCAGCACCUGUGCAGAGGCCCCGAAGGGCUAUAACAUCUCUGCUAUAUUCCUCUGCAUGUCAAGCCUGGGUAAGGUUCUUCGCGUUGCAUCGAAUUAAACCACAUGCUCCACUGCUUGUGCGGGUCCCCGUCAAUUCUUUUGAGUUUCAGCCUUGCGACUGUACUCCCCAGGCGGUAUACUUAACGCGUUCGCUACGGCACAACCGGGGUUGAGUCCGAUUACACCAAGUAUACAUCGUUUAAGGCUAGGACUAC